GGGCAGCCUAAGCCUGAUAGAGGC
This 24-nucleotide small RNA is filed under the name Arabidopsis thaliana (thale cress). Lineage: Eukaryota; Viridiplantae; Streptophyta; Magnoliopsida; Brassicales; Brassicaceae. The record is from RNAcentral.